Molecule: unclassified non-coding RNA, 124 nt
Filed under: soil metagenome
Description: partial internal transcribed spacer 1
Source: RNAcentral
CAGGGCAAGACUCUAACCCUGGAACUCAAAGCACGUGCUCGGGGUGGGAGGUCCCACUGGGACCUGGCAGGGGGAAGCCGGAGCUAUACUGUCUGAGUGGCAUAGAGAAAAGCAAAUAAAGUCA